Molecule: ribosomal RNA, 484 nt
Filed under: uncultured bacterium
Lineage: Bacteria
Description: partial 16S ribosomal RNA
Rfam family: Bacterial small subunit ribosomal RNA
Source: RNAcentral
AUUGAACGCUGGCGGCAGGCCUAACACAUGCAAGUCGAGCGGAUGAAGGGAGCUUGCUCCUGGAUUCAGCGGCGGACGGGUGAGUAAUGCCUAGGAAUCUGCCUGGUAGUGGGGGAUAACGUCCGGAAACGGGCGCUAAUACCGCAUACGUCCUGAGGGAGAAAGUGGGGGAUCUUCGGACCUCACGCUAUCAGAUGAGCCUAGGUCGGAUUAGCUAGUUGGUGGGGUAAAGGCCUACCAAGGCGACGAUCCGUAACUGGUCUGAGAGGAUGAUCAGUCACACUGGAACUGAGACACGGUCCGGACUCCUACGGGAGGCAGCAGUGGGGAAUAUUGGACAAUGGGCGAAAGCCUGAUCCAGCCAUGCCGCGUGUGUGAAGACGGUCUUCGGAUUGUAAAGCACUUUAAGUUGGGAGGAAGGGCAGUAAGUUAAUACCUUGCUGUUUUGACGUUACCAACAGAAUAAGCACCGGCUAACUUCGUG